Molecule: unclassified non-coding RNA, 330 nt
Filed under: soil metagenome
Description: partial contains 5.8S ribosomal RNA, internal transcribed spacer 2, and large subunit ribosomal RNA
Rfam family: 5.8S ribosomal RNA (bases 2-121)
Source: RNAcentral
GGAUGAAGAACGCAGCGAAAUGCGAUACGUAGUGUGAAUUGCAGAAUUCCGUGAACCAUCGAAUCUUUGAACGCACAUUGCGCCCCUUGGUAUCCCGAGGGGCAUGCCUGUUCGAGCGUCAUUUCACCACUCAAGCCUGGCUUGGUGUUGGGCGACGUCCUCUUUGGGGACGCGCCUCGAAACGCUCGGCGGCGUGGCACCGGCUUUAAGCGUAGCAGAAUCUUUCGCUUUGGAAGUCGGGGCCCCGUCUGCCGGAAGACCUGCUCGCAAGGUUGACCUCGGAUCAGGCAGGGAUACCCGCUGAACUUAAGCAUAUCAAUAAGCGGAGGA